UUGGUCAGAAACAAGAGUUACAAAAAUCGGAACGAUACAGAGAAGAUUAGCAUGGCCCCUGAGUAAGGAUGACACGCAAAUUUGUGAAGUGUUCCAUAUUUUU
Molecule: small nuclear RNA, 103 nt
Organism: Diceros bicornis minor
Lineage: Eukaryota; Metazoa; Chordata; Mammalia; Perissodactyla; Rhinocerotidae
Source: RefSeq, a predicted model, not a curated record